Long non-coding RNA from Nyctereutes procyonoides (raccoon dog), 716 nucleotides. RefSeq lists it as uncharacterized. The record is from RefSeq and is a predicted model, not a curated record. The transcript is spliced from 4 exons. NCBI's taxonomy places the organism in Eukaryota, Metazoa, Chordata, Mammalia, Carnivora, Canidae.
CUGCGCUCGGUGAUGGGCUGGAGCUGAGGCCGGGCCUGGGUGCGGGAACCUCAGCAGAAGCUCGCCCGCCGGUACCUGCAGCCGCAUAUUCAUCACCUAAAAUGGAAACACCUGGCGCGAGGAAAGCCGGAACUUGCCUUCUCAAACCCGUCUUUCUCCCCUUGCCCCCCUCCUCCCUUGCGUCUGUCUCUGGCCGAGCAUCCUCCUCCCCCUGGUCCUUCCCCAAAAGUUAAGGAACUCUGCGCAGGAGGAGACCUCACCGUUGCCUUUUCCUGCCCUACAGUACGACUCCUUCGGCGCCACUUUAAGAUCCUUUCUUUAAAAAUCCCAUCAGAACGGCUUUUAAAAAUGUGUUGCUGUUGGGGGUUGCGGAGAAAAUUCAUUUUUCCAUGACUUUUCCAAUCAGGUACCGCAUUGGUGCAGGCUUCCCAAAGCGUGUGCCCAGGCCCAGUUCUGUGCAGAGAGGAUGCGGAACAGCAGGCUGAUAGGACUUUCUGGAGCUUCAGUUUUACUAUGAGAUUUGCAACAGCUGAAGUUAAGCAAUUUACAAGGAUCUCCAGAAGUGGAUGGCACUGGUUCUUGUUCUAGACCCUGACUUCAUUUUUUCCCUCCCAGUCUGUGGAAUACUAAGCUGUGGGUUGGAUCCCCCAGUAGCCCUGGAAGGACUGCUGCAUGGAGGCUGGGCUUCUCUCCUUGAAAAUGUUUAUUGGAAAAUA